RNAcentral lists this long non-coding RNA (488 nucleotides) under Mytilus galloprovincialis (Mediterranean mussel). Lineage: Eukaryota; Metazoa; Mollusca; Bivalvia; Mytilida; Mytilidae. The record is from RNAcentral.
GCAGCCUACAGUGAAAGACUUGAAGAAAUAUAGGCAAUGUAAGUACGAUUAAUUAAGUGAUUUUGCUGCUUGUGGCGUUUCCUCGAAGUAGCUGGUUACCUCCAAAUGGGACGACAGUCAUGGAUGUUGAGAAUGGCCCACGUCGCAGACUCGCGAGGACGGGCGGCCUCGGAUGUUCGCUAGCGGCCUACGACAGCUACAGGCUUUCUGCCCAUGCCUGUAGAAGGGGACUUUGAGAUGUCAUGCUGAAGUUUUCUGGAGAUUAUCUGGUUUCAUUUUUGGGAAGCAGUCCACAUGGAAAAAUGAUGCAGCCAAACUAAAGAUACGCUCGAUUGGUUCUUUCUAACGUCCCUGUUAAAGAAGCAGGAAAAAAUAGAAUAAUAAGAGAUGGAAAAUGUCAAAUUUACUUGGUCUACAACAAAGAAACCCUUUUAUUUUAUUGCUGUUCUUCAUAUUCAAGUUCACAGACCAGUCCUUCAACAAUGAGA